Molecule: ribosomal RNA, 253 nt
Filed under: uncultured bacterium
Lineage: Bacteria
Description: partial 16S ribosomal RNA
Rfam family: Bacterial small subunit ribosomal RNA
Source: RNAcentral
UACAGAGGUCUCAAUCGUUGUUCGGAUUCAUUGGGCGUAAAGGGUGUGUAGGUGGCGCGCUAAGUCAGGUGUGAAAUUUCGGAGCUUAACUCCGAAACUGCAUUCGAUACUGGCGUGCUUGAGGACUGGAGAGGAGACUGGAAUUCAUGGUGUAGCAGUGAAAUGCGUAGAGAUCAUGAGGAAGACCAGUGGCGAAGGCGGGUCUCUGGACAGUUCCUGACACUGAGACACGAAGGCCAGGGGAGCAAACGGG